Bufo gargarizans (Asiatic toad) is the source of this 307-nucleotide long non-coding RNA. RefSeq lists it as uncharacterized. The record is from RefSeq and is a predicted model, not a curated record. Lineage: Eukaryota; Metazoa; Chordata; Amphibia; Anura; Bufonidae. The transcript has 3 exons.
CCGACUCAUGUCCUAGUAACUUCCAAUAUUUUGCUUUAUUUCACAGUAACACGGGAGAAGAGUUCCCCGAAUCGGUGGUCUUCACAGUCGUCUUCAUGGUUAUAUCCAUUGUAGGAGCUGGCAUCGCUUCCAUCAAAUACAGGUUCAUGAUCAUUCAUUCUGAGCCAUCAGAGAAGCGACAUAUCAUCGGCCAGAGAAUCCUCUAUGCCAUGGGAUGGCUGGCAUGUAUUGGGACAGCCUUGACCGGCGCAUUUUCGAUGAAGACCAAUCCCCUCGUCCACAGGAUCAGCUCAGGAGUGGCAUUUUU